CACACAGAGCUUUGAAAGGCCACCAAGAACACAGUGAGAAGGUGGCUAUAAUCCAAGAUGAAACCCCACUGGAUAGACCAUCUUGGUCUUCCAGGUUCCAUUCCACAUGCCACAUUGUGCACCCCUCUGUGUCUCCCAAUUGUCUUCUCUGCCCUCAUUUGCCUUGGGCUGAUCUGUUGAAAGUCGCAGAGACCAGGCAGCCCUCUAGUGGUCGCUGGAACAAUCUAAUGAGAAGCUGGCUAAGGUCAUUGAAGAGAAGAUUG
Molecule: long non-coding RNA, 263 nt
Filed under: Mus spicilegus (steppe mouse)
Lineage: Eukaryota; Metazoa; Chordata; Mammalia; Rodentia; Muridae
Description: lncRNA (ENSMSIG00000011374.1)
Source: RNAcentral